UCGGCGCCUCCUCCCUCGUCAUCCACACCUCGCACUGCAUUCAUUUUGCCGUACCGAUCAGUAUUGGUAUUCUCAAACUGAACCAUACAGGAUCCGUUUAAAUUUUGAAUUCGGUUUCUAUAGGCUCCCUUCUCGAACCCAGCCAUACUGUGCCCAAGCUUAUGUUUUUUCAUUGAACCUGAUUAUUUUCAUUUAAAAAUAAUCACGUUAAUGUCUUCCACAAUAAUUUAUGUGAAUGUGAUUUUUAUACAGAGAAAUAGACAAUUUGAGUUUAAUUUUUAUAACACUAUUAUUACAGUGGUGUGAGUUUUACAUAUUAAUUGUGGGGUUGAUUUAUUUAUUUAAUUUUCUAAUUUAUGAUUGAUUGUUCUCUUUUCUCCCUCUCAAAAAUUGAAAAUUUAGUACAUAGAAAUCAACAAACAUUUUUCGGACUCACUAUAAAAGUAUGAUUCCUAUAUGGAAAAUUUUAUUUAAACUCAUUUAACCUUUUUCUACACCCAACUUAAAUUUUAAAUGUUAAUUGUCUAUUUUACCCUAUUGCAUAAUUACUAUAUAGUUCCAUUUGAUAUAUGUUAAUGGUGGGGAUCGGGGAUCAGUGACCUGGAUUAUGCUUUGGAGUACCAUUUAACCUCUUUCUACACCCCAACUUGCCUUAAAACACAACGUUUUCUUCUCUUUAAUUUUAGUUUUAAUUUAAGGUUUUGUUUUUGUUCGUUUGUAAAAUCAUCACAACAAACUCUUCACAUCUUUGAUUGAUUUAUUAAUUAAGAUCGAGUCUAGUUCAUUGUUUGAGUUUAUAUUUUAUAUUUUUGGGUUUUUGUCUUUAUUAUAAUUAGAUUUGGUUUAGUUUAUCAAAUUGGAGAUUCAAUUAUAAUCCUCGUGGGAACGAUACUUGGACUUGCAAAACGCUAUAUUACGACUAUCUUGUGCACUUGGAAGUUUACUACACCCAACUUAAAUUUUAAAUGUUAAUUGUCUAUUUUACCCUAUUGCAUAAUUACUAUAUAGUUCCAUUUGAUAUAUGUUAAUGGCGGGGAUCGAGGAUCAGUGAUCUGGAUUAUGCUUUGGAGUUUGGAGGGGUACAGUUGAACAGACAAGAAAUGUAAUUGUUUCUGGUGAGAGAAGUUGCAAUCAGAAACAAUUUGGAAAACAAACACGAAACGUUAAAAAGGGGUUGGAACUUUCAGUUCAAAUCUAACUUCUUGUCCCACAAUCCCUUUUUCUAGUUCCCUUUUUCAGACUUUUGGUGUGGAUUACACACUUAGAUUUCUAUGUUGAAAUCCUCCCACAAGUUACAAUAACAUUUUAAUUUCAUCUUGGAGCCAAGGUUGCCGAGGGUUUAUGGAAUUGGGUGUAAAGAAAAAUCUACAUGUGGAAUUGGGUUUGUGGGGGGGUAUAAUAGGUAAUAAAUUUGGGUUUAAGGAGAUAUUAAUAGUUUAGUUAAAAAUCAAAUGGGUGCAAAGAGUAAGUUGAGGGUAGAAAUAGGUUACAUGGGCUAACUCGAGACCAAGGCAGUCACUUUCGAUCUGUUUUUUGGCCAAACCACGGCGAGUUAGCCGUCAAGAAAGGUACCAUUAUCUUCCUCUCAUCGAGAAGUAUGAUUUUUUUUUAAUUACUCUAUUUCGUUGAGUAUUGAAGAAGUUAUGUAUGUUUAAAGUUUACACAGUUUCCGGUGAGUUUUCCAGUUUUCCCACGGAUCAGUCACCUUUCAGGAUAUUUUUCGGCCAUCUCCGGCAACCAUUGAGCUUCCAAAUGGAUACAAACUUGUUCUACACUUUCCUAUCUUCAUUUUGAUAUAUUAUGGAUUGAAUUUGGUUAAGAAAUUAUUGAGUUACGAAACUUUGAAAAUUGUCUAAACUUCCGGCCAAGAGCUCUAGGACACUUAACGGAGUUUUUAAUGGAAUGACCAAAAUAAUGAAUGGUGGACAGUUUCAGGGACCAUUUCUAUUAAUUUUCAAUCUCAGGGACCAAAGUGAUGUGUUAUGCAAAUCUUAUGGAUCAUUUUGGCUAAAAAGCCUAAAUAUGAAAUGCUCAAUGAAGACGGGUGAUGAAUUUUGUGGCAAAUGGUAUGGCUAACCUUUAGCCUUCCAAUAAGAUUACUUUUUCUUUUUCAACUAAUUCAAAUGUUAGAAAUGGAAUUGUAAUUUUGGCCGUGUUUGGACUUGAAAUAUUGAAUUUGGGCUAAUGGUGGAUAAUUCACAAUAGAGAUUAAUUCUCGGACUAGUGUUAUCUCUUUAGGCUAGAUGGUACUCAGAUAUUCAGCCCACGAUGAACUUGGCCGAGUCCUAACAAGAGUGUGACUCAUAAAAAGAUCAAGCGAAGAGGUGAUUCGGCCUAGUCGUAGUUGAAGUGAAAUUGUACAAGAUUAGAGUGAGUUUUGAUAAGGUUCCAAUUAUUGUAAGAACCAAAACUCGUUGCUGAUAAGAUAAAGAAAGUAUUUAAAGCAUUAAAGAACUAGGUUCAGAUUUCUAGUUCUAAUCGAAGUGGCCGAAACUGCGUGCAAAUUGGUUUUGGCUAGUGAAAUAUUACAUUGAGAAUAACCAGAGAGAUGUCGAGGAAGAAUAGGUUUAAUAGAACUCUACUUCGACAUACGUGGCCAUCAGGAAACUCAACCCUAUAAAUAAAAGUGAGUUUGUAACGUCAAAAGGAUCUUCAACUCAACACACAAACGUCUUGCGCAAAUCUCGCUCUACGUGAACCCCUUUCAUACUAUGAGAAACCGUUAACUCUCCUAACUUUGUCAUCGCACCUUCAGUUUGGAUUAAUAGCACUAGAGCCAUAGAAUUAGGCGACCGAGGAGUAUCUUCAGUUUGGAGUAACAACAUUACUUCAAAUUAGGCUUGUUACCUAUCCAAGUCUCUGUCAGCCAGAAGUCUUUGGUUUUCUUGAUGAAAGAGGUCAUCUCAUCAGCUUCGCAACGAAGUGAGAUGUUAUCAAGUUACUUAGUAUUCGGCACAUUGAAAGACGAACCUUUCCAUUAUUGGUUAUUCCCAUGUGCAUUUCAAAGUUCGGCAUUCUAAUGGCCGAUCCACAUUUACAGUCAAAACACAAUUCAAAGUUUGAUACCAAUUCGGCGCACCUAUAUUUUCACAAACAUAGUUGAAACGACCAAACCUGGUGCAGAUCUUGAACUUCACAGUGACUAGCAACCUUGUCUUCAGGUUUUAGAACCCAAUGUCGAGACGUGUUUCUUCCUUGGUUGUGAUCACUCGAAUACAGAAGUCAAAAGUGCAUUUGACACCACCACCACCACCACCAUAUUUAUGUUACUCGCCGACCAAGCUUAAUGGUGAGUUGGUACGCCCGCAUUCAAUAAAAGAACGUAGUUAGCUCUUAGAUACUCGACAUCACGCCCGAAAGCUUUGUACUUUUUAGGCUCAAAAUGUCCAUAAUUUAAAUUUUCAACAUUCUAAUUUAUUCUCAAUGUUCUGUUAUGAGUCAUUAUGGAUUUACUAGUUACUAGCCUUCAUGCACAUGCUCACGUGCGUAUAAAAGAUAUUUUUUAAAUUACGGUGUGUUACGCGCGACUUACACAUUUUAAAUGUAUUUAUAUGUGUAAAUUGCUUCAAUAUUUUUUUUAUGACAAAAAGAAAGUAAAAUAUUUUGACUAAAUGAAUAAUAUUAGACCAUGCUAGAAGAAACCCCUCAUAAACCAAUCUAAGCAGUUGAAUCCACAUAAUAAAAUCAGUCUUUCAAUUUUCAGCUACAUUAUAUUGAAUUGGCUUUUUAGCAAAAUGGUCCCUGAGACUUUCAUAACACAUAACUUUGGUCCCUGAGAUUUAAAAUCAAUAAAAGUGGUCUAUGAGAUUGUCCACCAUCCAUUAUUUUGGUCAUUCCAUUAAAAAAACUCUGUUAAGUGGUCCAUGAGCUUUUUAAUGGAAUGACCAAAAUGAUGGAUGAUGGACAAUCUCAGGGACCGAAGUUAUGUGUUAUGCAAAUCUCAGGGACCAAAAUUAUGUGUUAUGCAAAUCUGAGGGACAAAAGUUAUGUGUUAUACCCUCAACUUAACGAGUUUUUUAAUGAAAGGACCAAAAUAAUAGAUGGUGGACAAUCUCAGGGACCACUUCUAUUGAUUUUAAAUCUCAGGGACCAAAGUUAUGUGUUAUGCAAAUCUCAGAAACCAUUUUGACUAAAAAGCCUAUUGAAUUUACAUUAAAAAUAGAGAAAAUAAUAUUUAAUAAAUAACUGAUUGAAUCACAUUAUUGCUAACCCACCAUUCCUCUUAGUGUAGAUAACAUCGUUUGUUCAACAAAAACAAAAAAAAUGAUCAUUUGAUAACUAAUUGAAUCACAUUAUUAUGUGUGUGCGAAAGACCUUUUUUUAUAACCGAUACUAUGCGCCUAUUAAGUGAUUGACAAUAGAGAAAAUAAUAUUUAAUAAACAAUUGAUUGAAUCACAUUAUUGUCCUCAUGCAAAAUGGCAUUUUUUUAUCACCGGCGGUACGCGUCUAGGGCUGGUUCGGUAUGGGAUACCGAACCAAAAAUGGCAUAUCAAAUCCCGAACCGAAAAUUUUCGGGACGUAAAUCUCAUGACUGAUCUCGAACCGAAAUUUCGGGAUUCCCAAAUUUCGGGAUUCCCGAAAUAUUUUCGGUAUUUCGGAAUUUCCCGAAACCGAACAUCAUCAGAAUCCAAAUCGUCUUAGAUUAAUAUUGAAAUCAUCCGAACCUGCAUUAAAAAUCCAAAUUGAAAUCAGAGACAUAGUGAUAGUGAAUCAGUGAAAGAUUUAUGGUCGAGAAAGAUGCAGAGUGAAGAGAGGGACCUCCUCCUGACUCGAGCCCCCAAUUCGAAACCCUAAGCCCCAAUUCAAAACCCUAACCUCAAUUCGAAAUCCCACACACACAGAGAAUCACUGGAGAGAACCGGAGGUGGGGAUGAAGCCAUGAGGUGUGGUGGUGGCCGGAGUGGAGAUAGUUCGUCGGAGUCAAAUUGCUAGACGAUGGGUGGUUGCUAAGCUUCAAAUCCGAGAAAGAGAGGGAGAGUCUGAGACUGAGUGAAGGCAGAUGAGAGGCGAAAUGAAAUGAGAGAGAGUGAGUAUGGAUGUUUGGCUUAGUUUUGGAUUGGGUGGAAGGAAAGGUUAGGUGGUUUCUGGGUUGUAGAGAGAGAGAGAGAGAGAGAGAGAGAGAAUACCAGAGAGAUGAGACAGAAAAAAUGAGAGGGAUAAAGGAUUAGGUAGGUUAUGAGUUGUAGAGAGAGACGAGACAGAAAAUAAGAGAGAGAUGAAGGGUUAGGUUAUGGGUUGUAGAGAGAGGGAGUCUGGGAGAUAAUCAAGAAGACAGAUGACU
Molecule: long non-coding RNA, 5282 nt
Filed under: Malus domestica (apple)
Lineage: Eukaryota; Viridiplantae; Streptophyta; Magnoliopsida; Rosales; Rosaceae
Description: long non-coding RNA (MDOM_LNC004450)
Source: RNAcentral